RNAcentral lists this ribosomal RNA (468 nucleotides) under uncultured bacterium. Its description in RNAcentral is "partial 16S ribosomal RNA". It matches the Rfam family "Bacterial small subunit ribosomal RNA", at positions 28 to 507 of the family's 1533-position model. The record is from RNAcentral.
GACGAACGCUGGCGGCGUGCUUAACACAUGCAAGUCGAACGGAAAGGCCCUGCUUUUGUGGGGUGCUCGAGUGGCGAACGGGUGAGUAACACGUGAGUAGCCUGCCCUUGACUUUGGGAUAACUUCAGGGAACUGGGGCUAAUACCGGAUAGGAGCUCCUGCUGCAUGGUGGGGGUUGGAAAGUUUCGGCGGUUGGGGAUGGACUCGCGGCUUAUCAGCUUGUUGGUGGGGUAGUGGCUUACCAAGGCUUUGACGGGUAGCCGGCCUGAGAGGGUGACCGGCCACAUUGGGACUGAGAUACGGCCCAGACUCCUACGGGAGGCAGCAGUGGGGAAUAUUGCACAAUGGGCGGAAGCCUGAUGCAGCAACGCCGCGUGCGGGAUGACGGCCUUCGGGUUGUAAACCGCUUUCGCCUGUGACGAAGCGUGAGUGACGGUAAUGGGUAAAGAAGCACCGGCUAACUACGUG